GCGCCCAUAGUUCAAUGGAUAGAACGUCGGGUUGCGGACCCGAAGGUUGCCAGUUCAAGUCUGGCUGGGCGCA
RNAcentral lists this transfer RNA (73 nucleotides) under Bacillota bacterium. Its description in RNAcentral is "tRNA-Arg". It matches the Rfam family "tRNA". Rfam says of the family: Transfer RNA (tRNA) molecules are approximately 80 nucleotides in length. The record is from RNAcentral. Lineage: Bacteria; Bacillati; Bacillota. RNAcentral also lists the same sequence under 1 other name.